AUGUUUUUAAAUAAAAUCAUGAACAUGUACCACGCUGCGCUUUGGUCCACUCCUCAUUCUUCAUUAGACGAGCGUUACAGAAUUGCCCACCACCAAAGGACCAAGCAGCGUGGUAAGGAGGACUGGACAUGGGAGGACAUCCUGGACGGCAAAGGAUCCUACACGUGGGAGGAGAUCCUGGCCGGAAAAGAUCACCUGCCAUGGGAGCAGGUCGAGGCAGCAAGGAAGGCGGAGGCAGCUAAGAAAAGGGCCAAGGAUUACAGGGGGACAAGGCUGGCACUAAAGACCGGGAGGCCACUCCCAAAAAAUGUUUUUGGGGGGCACAAAGGGAGAUUGGCUGAGCCAGGUUGGAGACCUGAGCCAACUCCCCGUGCUUACCGGAGGGAGCGUAGUACUGGUCAGGCACCAUGUUAUGCGGUGGAGCGCACAGUGUCUCCCGUACGCGCUCUUAGCCCGGUGCGCUACAUCUCAGCUCCCUGCAUCUGCCGGGCUAGGGUGAGCAUCCAGCCAGAAAGGAUUGUGCCAGUCCUGCUCUCCAGACCUGCAGUAUGUCUCUAUGGCCCAGGAUAUCCUGCGCCGGCUCUGCACACUGUGUCUCCAGUGCGUCUGCACAGCCCAGUGCGUCCUGUGCCUGCGCCCCGCACGUGCCGGGCUAAAGUCACCAUCCAGCCAGGGCGGGUUGUGCAGGCUCUUAGCUCGAGACCUCCAGUGCGCCUCCACGGCCCAGUGUAUCCGGUGCCUCGGCCAAGGACAGGGCUUCCUGUAUGUGUCUCCAGCCUGGUGAGUCCUGUGCCUGCGCCCAGAACUAAUCCUCUUGCAUGUCUCCCCAGCCUGGUGAGCCCUGUGGCAGCUCCACGUACCAGACUGCCCAUACGUCUUCUCCCUCCAGUGAUAAUCCAUGGCACGAAGCCUCCAGUGAUGAUCCAUGGCAAGAAGCCUCCAGUGAUGAUCCAUGGCAUGAAGCCUCCAGUGAUGAUCCAUGGCACGAAGCCACCAGUGAUGAUCCAUGGCACGAAGCCUCCAGUGAUGAUCCAUGGCAAGAAGCCUCCAGUGAUGAUCCAUGGCACGAAGCCUCCAGUGAUGAUCCAUGGCACGAAGCCUCCAGUGAUGAUCCAUGGCACGAAGCCUCCAGUGAUGAUCCAUGGCAAGAAGCCUCCAGUGAUGAUCCAGGGCACAAAGCAUCCAGUGAUGAUCUCCAGUCCGGGGCCCGCAACAAGGGUGCCCAGUCCGGGGCCCGCAACGAGGGUGCCCAGUCCGGAGCCUCCAGCAACGAGGGUGCCCAGUCCGGGGCCCGCAACGAGGGUGCCCAGUCCGCGGCCCGCAACGAGGGUGCCCAGUACUGGGCCCACUACGAGGGUCCCCAGUCCGGGGCCCGCUUCUAUGUUUUCUGUUAGGUUUGGUUACCUUACAGAACUGUUAGUUUGUCCCUUUGUUAUUUUUGUUCAAAGUGUUCUGAGUUAA
This 1461-nucleotide long non-coding RNA is filed under the name Oncorhynchus kisutch (coho salmon). Its description in RNAcentral is "lncRNA (ENSOKIG00005048469.1)". Lineage: Eukaryota; Metazoa; Chordata; Actinopteri; Salmoniformes; Salmonidae. The record is from RNAcentral.